CAGGUUCAAUUCCUGGCCUCACUCAGUGAGUCAAGAAUCCAGUAUUGCCAUGAGCUAUGGUGUAUAUCACAGACAUGCUUAGAUCCCACACUGCUGUGGUUUUAGCAUAGGCUGGCAUUUUUAGCUCUGAUUUGAAUCCUAGCCUGGGAACUUCCAUAUACCAUAGGCACAGCCCUAAAAAAGCAAAAAAAAAAAAAAAAAAAAAAUUGGCCAUGCCCACAGCAUGUGGAAAAUCCCAGGCCAUGGAUUGAACUGGAGCCACAGCAGCGACCCUAGCCACACUGGAUCCUCAAACCUCUGAACCAUCAGGAAACUCCCCAACUGACUUCUCUAUGCCUCAGUUUCUUCAUCUGUACUCUACAGAUAAGAGUAUUAAUGGCGUCAUUCCAAGGAUCAGAGAGUUAACAAAAUAUUGCCCACACAGGGUAAGCGAUCAGGAGCAGAGAGUUAUUAUAGCUCUCUUUAGCAUCUCUGUAACUACUGCAAUUUAUUCUUUUUUAAUUAAAAAAAAUAUUUUUUGGCCACACCUGUGGCAUGUGGGACAGCACUGGAUCCUUAACCCAUUGAGACAUAAGAGAACUCCCUUCUUUUUUAAAAAACUGAAGUGCAGCUGAUUUACAUUAUCAGUUUCAGGAGUAGAGCACAGUGAUUCAGUUUAUAUACAUAUAUACACAUACAUAUUCUUUUUCGGAAUCUUUUUUUUUUCUUUUUACAGUCGCACCUGAGGCAUAUGCAAGUUUCUAGGCUAGGGGUUGAAUUGGAGCUGCAGCUGCAGGCCUACGCCACAGCCAUGACAAUACCAGAUCUGAGCUGCAUCUGUGAACUACGUGGCAGCUUGAGGCAAUACCAGAUCCCUAACCCACUGAGUGAGGCCAGGGAUCGAACCCACAUCCCUACAGACACUAUGUUGGGUUCUUAACCCACUGAGCCACAAGAGGAACUCCAGAAUCUUUUACCUUAUAGGUUAUUACAAAAUAUUGAGUAUAGUUCCCUGUACUACACCUUAGGUCCUGGCUGGUUAUCUGCUUUUUAUGUAUAAUAGUGUGUACAUGUUAAUCCCAACCUCCUAAUUUAUCCCUCCCCUGACUCCCCUUACUUAUUCCUUAAGAGAACAAGCCUCAGGCUCAGUCUUUAGCAGGCAACAGAAUCUAACCAGCUAGUAAUACUGAUGUUCCAUUUAUAGUAGGAUAUAAAGAGAUACAAAUUUAACAAUAGAGUCCAUUUAAAAUAAACACUAGAUAGUAAUACAGGUGGUACCUGGAUAGGGCAAAAAGUUAAAAACAAUAAAAUCAGUAUUAAAAGCAUAAAAGCUAGAGAAGUAUACUCAAGUGUUCUCACAUACACAAAAAGAUAACUAUGUGGGGAGUUCCCAUCAUGGCUCGGCGGUUAACGAACCUGACUAGGAUUCGUGAGGAUUCGGGUUUGAUCCCUAGCCUCGCUCAGUGGGUUAAGGAUGCGGCGUUGCCAUGAGCAGUGGUAUAGGUUGCAUGCUGGAACUUUCAGACCUGGCUGAGCAUACAAAUCAUCUAGGAUGCUUGUUGCAAAAAAAGAUUCCUAUAUUUUACUCUAAGCACUUUAGGGUUGGGGCCUGGAAUCUGUAUUUUAAAUAAAUGUCUCAGGUGAUCCUCCUAUAACUAGUCUAGUACUGGACAAAAAUUAGGACUUAGGGACUGCUGCUGGGUCAGAAAACAAACAAGGAGGAGUUCCUGUUGUGGCGCACGGUUAACGAAUCCGACUACGAACCAUGAGGUUGCGGGUUCAAUCCCUGGCCUUGCUCAGUAGAUUAAGGAUCCGGUGUUGCCGUGAGCUGUGGUGUAGGUCAAAGACGUGGCUUGGAUCCCAUGUUGCUGUGGCUGUGGUGUAGGCCGGCGGCUAGAGCUCCGAUUAGACCCCCUAGCCUUCGAACCUCCAUAUGCCGCAGGAGUGGCCCUAGAAAAGGCAAAAAGACAAAAAGACAAAAAAAAAAAG
This 1968-nucleotide long non-coding RNA is filed under the name Sus scrofa (pig). Its description in RNAcentral is "lncRNA (ENSSSCG00025022884.1)". Lineage: Eukaryota; Metazoa; Chordata; Mammalia; Artiodactyla; Suidae. The record is from RNAcentral.